AGGGAAGGUCCUAAGACGAAAGAGGACUGGGAAAGACUUCUUGUGGAAAGUAAGAUGUUAGCUGAGACUCGAAGGAAGCCAAGAGGUGGAGAGAUGAGGAAGGAGAGUGUUCCAGGCCCUGGGUACGGCUACAGAAAACAUUUGGAGUCAGGAGAUGGAGUCCUAUGUCUAAGGACCAGCAAGCAUGUAGCCUGGAAAGGCAUAGCUUUCUGAGAAGAAGGAGGUAGAAUUUCUUACAUUGGAAAAUGCAGGUGAUAGAAAAGCAAAAGCCAGGGAUAAGGACUGAUCCUGUUUCACUGAUAUAGCAAAUUCCAGGAUAAGGAAACUUCCUCUACCAAUGCAGAAUCUUGGAAACCACCUCCAUGAUAAACAUCCUCAGCUCACCAUGUUAUAAUUUCCUAAUAAUUUGAAAGAAGAGAAGUCAUCUGAGCCAGGCAGUGAUGAUGUGGGAUAAGUGCUUGGAAUCAAAAAGCAUACUCCUUGGAAGCAGAAACUGUUGUUUGCCUGUCUUUGUAUCUCUAGUGUUCAGCAGACUACCUCACACAGGCAAUGCAUCAGCCAUGAGGAAGAUCACGACCAGAGUUCCCUAAAUGCUGACUUCUUCACAGACAUGGGCAACAGAGUUUUCUCAGGAUGAUGCUUGAAAGUCUCUCAAGAACUCUCUGCAGGAUAUCUCUGUUCUUCACAGAUUAAGAGUUAAACUCAGUUCUGUCAAAAUGUCCCUCCAGUCUUUCUCAGUGUUGUAGUUAACUUACUCAGUCUCUCAGCAAAGAAGCUCUCUUGCUUCUUUCUCUUCCUGGCAAACAGUUUCCAGAUGACAGUAAAAUUAUCUCUUCAAGAUUCUGUUACUUCUCAAAGAUAAAGUAACAAUAACUAGUCUUAACCAGAAAGACUAUGUAAAUUAGAGCUACAUUUAAGAAAAAGUAAAGUCUGUUCUUAAAGACCUUAUGGGGGCAGAGGUGUUAGAGGAAAGCAUAGAUAAGAAAAUACAAAAUAUGACAAAGAUAAACUACAUACAAAGUGUCCAUUUGUCCUUCACUGUUUCCAAAUAAGAAAAGGUUCUAUGGAAGAGGUGUUAUUAAGAGGUGUCAGUUACUCAAAAAGUAUCAAUGAUGCAUUUAAAAGAAUACAAUUCAUCCAAGUUCCUUAGACUUGCAUUCAAGGCCCUACCCAAUUUGGUGCUUUCCUAUCUAAUUUUUUUUUUUUGGUCAGUCAGCCAACAAGCA
Phascolarctos cinereus (koala) is the source of this 1226-nucleotide long non-coding RNA. RefSeq lists it as uncharacterized. The record is from RefSeq and is a predicted model, not a curated record. Lineage: Eukaryota; Metazoa; Chordata; Mammalia; Diprotodontia; Phascolarctidae.